GUGGCAAUCUACAUGGGAGAAUAAUUGGAGAGAAAAAUCUUUCAAAGAAAAUGUUAAGGAAGUUGCAAAGAGCAAAGAAGUGGCAAUGUGAAGAAUCAUGACACUUCCUUUAAAGAAACUAGGCAAGGGCAGAAAUAAGAUGAAUGGACUCAAACUGAAAAAGUCCUUGGUGCAAUCAUGAGAGAAGAUGAGCUAGCCAGGCAUCUGCAGAAGCGAGGAAGGUUGGAUCCAGAAUGACUCAGUGAGUGGAGCACCAGGGACACAUUACCAGAUGAAAAGAGUUAACUCAGCCUGAACUCAAUUCAAGAGGGAACUCCUAGAGCAAGGCACCAAAAUAGCCUUGCAUGCUUAGUGACUCAGGCUCCUUCCCUGCCCGAAGGUGAGUAAAGUAUGGAAAUGGGAAGCAAAUCACAAGGAGGAUUUUAAAAGAGGGUACCAGAAAGUGAGACUGCCAAAAUCAAUUUUUUUUUGAUACUGGGGAUUUAACACAGGGACACUUUACCACAGAGCUAUAGGCCCCGUCCUUCUUAUUUUUUAUUUUGGAAGCUGCUGAAAGUUUUUCUAAGUUGCUAAGACUGGCCUCAGAUUUAUAAUCCUCCUGCCUCAGCCUCCACAGCCACUGGGAUUGCAGGGAGAAA
RNAcentral lists this long non-coding RNA (638 nucleotides) under Marmota monax (woodchuck). Lineage: Eukaryota; Metazoa; Chordata; Mammalia; Rodentia; Sciuridae. The record is from RNAcentral.